CAAGUGCCUGGUAAAUGCCUGAAAAAGGUUAGUAAAAUUCUUUAAAUACCAGGAAUAAGAAAGAACAUUCAGCUGUACUAAUAUCAAUAAUAGAAUUAUAAAAUACUAUAGAUCUGAUUACCGAACAAAAGCAAAGUAAUCAUUUAAGACCAAAUUGGAAAACCUUGGUAAAAAGAAUACUUCUUCACAGCUAGUGGCUGACACGUGGCACUUGGAUACCAUUCAGAUGUUUCUCUCUUAUUAUAAGGAUUUUAAACCCAUUGAAGGGGAAUGUUUUUUUUUCCUGUUUUUGUUGUUUUGUUUGCUUUAUGAGAUAUCCUUGGAGAGAUGGACCAGAUGUAAAGCAGAUACCAUCCUUAGGAGUCCUCUGAACUGAUACAGUGAAGAUAUGAAGAAAUUUGAGAAAAGUCUGUACAGACAAAGGAUUCAAGAAGGAAGACGUAAGUGAAGAAGGACAGUUAAUACUACACCCCUCAGUGGAGGAGUUGACAUCUGUGUCAAUUAAGGUUUUUAGUUGUAAAAGUUUAAUGAUAUAUAAUUCAAUAAAUCAGGAAAUGUAAGAUUA
Molecule: long non-coding RNA, 565 nt
Organism: Penaeus monodon (black tiger shrimp)
Lineage: Eukaryota; Metazoa; Arthropoda; Malacostraca; Decapoda; Penaeidae
Exons: 2
Source: RefSeq, a predicted model, not a curated record